This is a long non-coding RNA of Cimex lectularius (bed bug), 516 nucleotides long. RefSeq lists it as uncharacterized. The record is from RefSeq and is a predicted model, not a curated record. The transcript has 2 exons. Lineage: Eukaryota; Metazoa; Arthropoda; Insecta; Hemiptera; Cimicidae.
UUCUUGGUGUAUUUUUUAGUAUAAAAUUGAAACGCAGAAAUGGAAGAUUCAAGCGUUGUGCAAUGCGAUUCAACAGUGUCGUGUCGAGAGCCAUAAGAAAUUACUAACAGCUCAACACAAAUUCGAAGAAAAAGUGCAGUCGUUCUAUGCUGAAGAGACAAACAAUAAGUUUGGUUCGACUUCGAACAAAUGGUCGCCGCUACAAACUCAUGAUAAAAAUGGAAUAUCAUUUUUAACAGAUCCAGCAGUUAAAGGUUCAUCGAACAAGUUGCCAAUUUUCAAUUACAACCUGAAGAAAUUGCAAGUGUCUUCACCUCAAGUGACUCAAGUCACAAGAAUUAAAAAUAAGCUGAUAAUUCAAAAAUCUAAAGACAAUUGAUCCAUACGUAAGCUUUUUUACUUUUCUGUGUGUUUUAUAUGAGCACAGAGGAAAUUUGGCCUUACUGUACAUGCUGCCGGGCCCUUCUAAUUACUGUGUUGUCAACUGAUUUAUUAUAUAUUUUCUCUCUCACUCUG